Molecule: small nucleolar RNA, 103 nt
Organism: Otolemur garnettii (small-eared galago)
Lineage: Eukaryota; Metazoa; Chordata; Mammalia; Primates; Galagidae
Gene: SNORA72
Rfam family: Small nucleolar RNA SNORA72
About the family: U72 is a member of the H/ACA class of snoRNAs. The snoRNA gene is located in intron 4 of the ribosomal L30 protein gene in human, mouse and chicken.
Source: Ensembl
AUGCCAAAUUCCCAUGUAUGAACACCUGCUAUGUAAAACCAUGUGAGUGUCCCCAGACCUUGUUCUUUCCCUACAUUUGGUUUUAUAAAUGCUGGUGAUAAAC